GUUAUAUUAGUAUAUAGUAUGUUUGAUUUCCAAUUAAAAGGAGGAGGAUAUAGUU
RNAcentral lists this transfer RNA (55 nucleotides) under Lycosa singoriensis. RNAcentral's name for it is "tRNA-Gly". Lineage: Eukaryota; Metazoa; Arthropoda; Arachnida; Araneae; Lycosidae. The record is from RNAcentral.